RNAcentral lists this long non-coding RNA (310 nucleotides) under Ananas comosus (pineapple). RNAcentral describes it as "long non-coding RNA (ACOM_LNC011473)". Lineage: Eukaryota; Viridiplantae; Streptophyta; Magnoliopsida; Poales; Bromeliaceae. The record is from RNAcentral.
GGGAUUGAUUGGAUGCAUCUCAUACUAAUAAAAUUUUGUGUCGGAUCGUUGACGCUAAUCAUUAAUUUUAAAAAUUCGAGCUACAGAAAAGAUACAAUUAAUUCACUUAAAUCGUACAGACAUAGCGCCCGUGAAUUUUGAUUGUAAUUCGUCUCAACCAGUCUCUUGCAGUUUCGAACAUGACUCAACCCAAUCAGACAUAGAGCAGAAUGCUGGCUCCUUUAAGCCAAUAUUUUUAAUCCAAAUUAUUGUACUAUUUUUUAAAUAAUUUUUAAAUUAUAAAGUAUUAGUUAUUUUGAUAGUGGGAAUG